This 574-nucleotide ribosomal RNA is filed under the name uncultured cyanobacterium. Its description in RNAcentral is "bacterial SSU rRNA". It matches the Rfam family "Bacterial small subunit ribosomal RNA", at positions 99 to 705 of the family's 1533-position model. The record is from RNAcentral. Lineage: Bacteria; Bacillati; Cyanobacteriota.
CGGACGGGUGAGUAACGCGUGAGAAUCUGCCCUCAGGACUGGGGACAACAGCUGGAAACGGCUGCUAAUACCCGAUGUGCCGAGAGGUGAAACAUUUAUGGCCUGAGGAUGAGCUCGCGUCUGAUUAGCUAGUUGGUGAGGUAAAAGCCUCACCACGGCGACGAUCAGUAGCUGGUCUGAGAGGAUGAUCAGCCACACUGGGACUGAGACACGGCCCAGACUCCUACGGGAGGCAGCAGUGGGGAAUUUUCCGCAAUGGGCGCAAGCCUGACGGAGCAAGACCGCGUGUGGGAGGACGGCCUAUUGGUUGUAAACCGCUUUUGAUAGGGAAGAAGUUCUGACGGUACCUAUGGAAUCAGCAUCGGCUAACUCCGUGCCAGCAGCCGCGGUAAUACGGAGGAUGCAAGCGUUAUCCGGAAUUAUUGGGCGUAAAGCGUCCGUAGGUGGUUGUUCAAGUCUGCUGUUAAAGCGUGGGGCUUAACCGCAUACCAGCAGUGGAAACUGGGCAACUAGAGUGCGGUAGGGGUCAGGGGAAUUCCCAGUGUAGCGGUGAAAUGCGUAGAUAUUGGGAAGA